GGCGCACGGGUGCGUAACGCGUAUACAAUCUACCUUGUACAGGGGAAUAGCCCAGAGAAAUUUGGAUUAAUGCCCCAUAGUAUUAUGAAAUGGCAUCGUUUUAUAAUUAAAGCUUCGGCGGUACAAGAUGAGUAUGCGUUCUAUUAGCUAGAUGGUAAGGUAACGGCUUACCAUGGCUACGAUAGAUAGGGGUCCUGAGAGGGAGAUCCCCCACACUGGUACUGAGACACGGACCAGACUCCUACGGGAGGCAGCAGUGAGGAAUAUUGGACAAUGGGUGAGAGCCUGAUCCAGCCAUCCCGCGUGAAGGAUGACGGUCCUAUGGAUUGUAAACUUCUUUUGUACAGGGAUAAACCUACUCUCGUGAGGGUAGCUGAAGGUACUGUACGAAUAAGCACCGGCUAACUCCGUGCCAGCAGCCGCGGUAAUACGGAGGGUGCAAGCGUUAUCCGGAAUCAUUGGGUUUAAAGGGUCCGUAGGCGGGCAUAUAAGUCAGUGGUGAAAGUCUGUGGCUCAACCAUAGAACUGCCAUUGAUACUGUAUGUCUUGAAUUAUUGUGAAGUGGUUAGAAUAUGUAGUGUAGCGGUGAAAUGCUUAGAUAUUACAUAGAAUACCGAUUGCGAAGGCAGAUCACUAACAAUAUAUUGACGCUGAUGGACGAAAGCGUAGGUAGCGAACAGGAUUAGAUACCCUGGUAGUCUACGCCGUAAACGAUGGAUACUAGCUGUUUGGACUUCGGUCUGAGUGGCUAAGCGAAAGUGAUAAGUAUCCCACCUGGGGAGUACGUUCGCAAGAAUGAAACUCAAAGGAAUUGACGGGGGCCCGCACAAGCGGUGGAUUAUGUGGUUUAAUUCGAUGAUACGCGAGGAACCUUACCAGGGCUUAAAUGUAGAUUGACAGGUUUAGAGAU
Molecule: ribosomal RNA, 910 nt
Filed under: uncultured eukaryote
Lineage: Eukaryota
Description: partial Bacterial small subunit ribosomal RNA
Rfam family: Bacterial small subunit ribosomal RNA
Source: RNAcentral